Non-coding RNA from Zootermopsis nevadensis, 73 nucleotides. The record is from Rfam. NCBI's taxonomy places the organism in Eukaryota, Metazoa, Arthropoda, Insecta, Blattodea, Termopsidae.
GCCACGGUGGUCUAGCGGUUAGAACGCUGGCCUUGUAAUCAUGGGGUCUCGGGUUCGAUUCCCGGCGGUGCCC